RNAcentral lists this ribosomal RNA (305 nucleotides) under uncultured bacterium. RNAcentral's name for it is "bacterial SSU rRNA". It matches the Rfam family "Bacterial small subunit ribosomal RNA", at positions 335 to 638 of the family's 1533-position model. The record is from RNAcentral.
UGCCUACGGGGGGCAGCAGUGAGGAAUAUUGGUCAAUGGGCGCAAGCCUGAACCAGCCAAGUCGCGUGAGGGAUGACGGUCCUAUGGAUUGUAAACCUCUUUUGUCGGGGAGCAAGGCCCGCCACGUGUGGCGGGAAGGAGAGUACCCGAAGAAAAAGCAUCGGCUAACUCCGGGCCAGCAGCUGCGGUAAUACGGAGGAUGCGAGCGUUAUCCGGAUUUAUUGGGUUUAAAGGGUGCGCAGGCGGAAGAUCAAGGCAGAGGUAAAAUUGAGAGGCUCAACCUCUUCGAGCCGUUGAAACUGGGU